This 468-nucleotide ribosomal RNA is filed under the name uncultured bacterium. Its description in RNAcentral is "partial 16S ribosomal RNA". It matches the Rfam family "Bacterial small subunit ribosomal RNA", at positions 28 to 507 of the family's 1533-position model. The record is from RNAcentral.
GACGAACGCUGGCGGCGUGCUUAACACAUGCAAGUCGAACGGAAAGGCCCUGCUUUUGUGGGGUGCUCGAGUGGCGAACGGGUGAGUAACACGUGAGUAACCUGCCCUUGACUUUGGGAUAACUUCAGGAAACUGGGGCUAAUACCGGAUAGGAGCUCCUGCCGCAUGGUGGGGGUUGGAAAGUUUCGGCGGUUGGGGAUGGACUCGCGGCUUAUCAGCUUGUUGGUGGGGUAGUGACUUACCAAGGCUUUGACGGGUAGCCGGCCUGAGAGGGUGACCGGCCACAUUGGGACUGAGAUACGGCCCAGACUCCUACGGGAGGCAGCAGUGGGGAAUAUUGCACAAUGGGCGGAAGCCUGAUGCAGCAACGCCGCGUGCGGGAUGACGGCCUUCGGGUUGUAAACCGCUUUCGCCUGUGACGAAGCGUGAGUGACGGUAAUGGGUAAAGAAGCACCGGCUAACUACGUG